ACUCCUACGGGAGGCAGCAGUGGGGAAUAUUGGACAAUGGGGGGAACCCUGAUCCAGCCAUGCCGCGUGUGUGAAGAAGGCCUUAUGGUUGUAAAGCACUUUAAGCGAGGAGGAGGCUCUUUUGGUUAAUACCCAAGAUGAGUGGACGUUACUCGCAGAAUAAGCACCGGCUAACUCUGUGCCAGCAGCCGCGGUAAUACAGAGGGUGCGAGCGUUAAUCGGAUUUACUGGGCGUAAAGCGUGCGUAGGCGGCUUUUUAAGUCGGAUGUGAAAUCCCCGAGCUUAACUUGGGAAUUGCAUUCGAUACUGGGGAGCUAGAGUAUGGGAGAGGAUGGUAGAAUUCCAGGUGUAGCGGUGAAAUGCGUAGAGAUCUGGAGGAAUACCGAUGGCGAAGGCAGCCAUCUGGCCUAAUACUGACGCUGAGGUACGAAAGCAUGGGGAGCAAACAGGAUUAGAUACCCUGGUAGCUA
This 470-nucleotide ribosomal RNA is filed under the name uncultured bacterium. Its description in RNAcentral is "bacterial SSU rRNA". It matches the Rfam family "Bacterial small subunit ribosomal RNA", at positions 335 to 796 of the family's 1533-position model. The record is from RNAcentral.